AUUGAACGCUAGCGGGAUGCUUUACACAUGCAAGUCGAACGGCAGCGCGGACUUCGGUCUGGCGGCGAGUUGCGAACGGGUGAGUAAUGUAUCGGAACGUGCCCAGUAGCGGGGGAUAACUACGCGAAAGCGUAGCUAAUACCGCAUACGCCCUACGGGGGAAAGCAGGGGAUCGUAAGACCUUGCACUAUUGGAGCGGCCGAUAUCGGAUUAGCUAGUUGGUGAGGUAACGGCUCACCAAGGCGACGAUCCGUAGCUGGUUUGAGAGGACGACCAGCCACCUGGGGCCUGGAACCCGGCCCAGCCCCCUAGGGGGGGCAGCGGGGGGAAUUUUGGGACAAGGGGGGCAACCCGUAUCCAGCCACCCCGGGGGGGGGAUGAAGGCCUUCGGGUUGUAAAGCCUUUUUGGGAGGAAAAAAACGUCGGGGGCUAAUACCCCGUGGAACUGCCGGUCCCUGCAGAAUAAGCCCCGGCUAACUACGU
RNAcentral lists this ribosomal RNA (483 nucleotides) under uncultured bacterium. RNAcentral's name for it is "partial 16S ribosomal RNA". It matches the Rfam family "Bacterial small subunit ribosomal RNA", at positions 28 to 506 of the family's 1533-position model. The record is from RNAcentral.